This 834-nucleotide long non-coding RNA is filed under the name Sinocyclocheilus anshuiensis. RNAcentral's name for it is "lncRNA (ENSSANG00000006177.1)". Lineage: Eukaryota; Metazoa; Chordata; Actinopteri; Cypriniformes; Cyprinidae. The record is from RNAcentral.
GAAUCGCUCAGUCGUCCAUGUAUUUUCUCUUUGCAGAAUCCUCCCCAAACACACACCAAAGAAGCCCUGCGUCAGACAGACUAGACAGUCCUCAGCAGGACAGGAAAAAGAAGCGAAAAGCAAAGAGGAUGAUUUUGGGUCCUGAAGCAGGUAGUCUUGCCAGCAGACAUGCGUCAUUAAAUGCGUCUAUGGAGAAGUGGAGCCCUUUCAAGUAAAUCAUCUAAAGAGAGGCGUUUCUGGAUCUACAGCAGCCCGAGCUCAGUAUUAUCAUAAACCCAUUAGAACACCUUGAUUAAUGUGCCUUGUAUCGGUGUCUAAUUUUUAGUUUAGUUUUUUUUUAAUUGUGGAAUGAACGUGAUGUCAUUUGAUCUGUUUUUAUUUUUUAAUCAAAAGUCCAGUUUGAGUACCUUUUGUAAUUUAGAUUGUAGCCUCAAUUUGUGCUUUAAAUUUGCUUGAAUAGUUUUAGUGAGAAAUUUGCACAAUCGUGCGUGUACCAAGAAGCAUUUUAUUUUGUAUAAAUUGUACAUAAAGAAAUGCUAGUUGCGGUCUGUGUAUUUACAAUUAUGCUGAUAUUAUUGCGCGUUCGUUGUUGAGCUGUUCAUUGUGCUUUUUCAGUUUGUCUGGGCUUGGGUUUAGUUGUUAUGCUUUAUUUUAUAGUUUAUAUUAGUACUUCAUUUUUGCUGAAUGAAUUGUGUAUGUUUGGGAAAAAGGCUCCAUCGCCUACAUUGCAUUUGCUUCAGUGCCAAUAAACAAAAAGAAUUCCCUCCAUGUUAGUAAUUUAACUCUGGUCCUCUCUCUUUUUUUUUUUUUUUUGACAAUAAAUGUUUUUUGUCA